ACAAGUGCUGGGAGGAGCCACAGGCACUGAGUGAGCCUUGGCCCAGGUUUCUUCUGAACCUGACACAGCACUCACUCUUGCAGAGGACCCGGGUUCGCAUUUGAGCCCUCACUAGGUAGCACCCAACCCUCCAGCACUCAGUUCCAAAGGACCCAUUACCCUCUUUGUCUGAUCCCCUCAGAAACCAGGCACACACCUAGUGCCCACACAAACACAUGGGAAAAAUACUUACAUACAUAUUAUUGCUUUGAAUAAGUUUGUCCCCCAUGGACUCAUGUCUAUGCUUGGCCCACAGGGAGUGGCACUAUUAGAAGGUGUGCCCUUGUUGGAGUAGGUGUGCCCUUGUUGGAGGAAUGUGUGUGUGUGGGGGGGGGGGUAGGCUUUGAGGUCCUGUGGUCAAUCUCCACCUAGUGUGGAUGGAACAGUCUCCUUCUGGCUGCCUUUGGAUCAAGAUGUGGAACUCUCUGCUCCUCCAGCACCAUGUCUGCCUGGACGCUGACAGGCUUCCCAUGAUGAUGAUGAUGGACUGGACCUCUGAACAAGUAAGCCAGCCCCAGACAUCAGCUCCCACUGGUUGGCUCUGAACCUAAGAGAGGAAGAAUACACAUCUGCAGCGCACAGCUCACAGCUCACAGUUCCUGGCAUGGGCUGAGCCAAGCUGUCCAGAUCCACUGUGAAGUCUUCAUUGAGCAAGUCAUUGUUUGCUGGCUCGUCUGUAUCUGGUUCAUGGGUAGGCUUGGCCAAGUACAGAGACUUCACACUUCCUGGCGUGAGAGCAUGGCUGCCCCCCCUCUACAGAGCACUCGAGAACAGAAGCACCCUCAUCCAUUCACUAGCAUCUGCUCCCCAGUGUCUGGAACACAACAGAUAUUCAAUUAAUGCUUGAUGAAGGGACCAAAGAGGCUUAUUCAGUCUGCCAACGUUGAAAGCAUCCAGGCUGAAUUUCAGAUAGCUACCCGACAACAUGGAAUUGUGAGAGGAACUUUUUGCUACUAUAAGGCUAGUUCCUCUACCCACAGGACACUCAAAAAUAAACAAGAAGCCUCUUGGUUUGAUGUGGCGUCACAUGCUUUUAAUCCCAGUUCAUGGGAGGCAGAGACAGGUGACUCAGUGAGUUCUCAGUCAGCCAAGACUAAAUAGUGAUACUUUGUCUCAAAGACAACAACAACAACAAACAAACAAACAAAAGCUCCAAACUAAAGCACUGUUCUUUCUUUACUGAGAUUGUUUGCUUCUCCAAGACACUCCCAGACAUGAGUUUACAAUUUUUAUAAGUUCAUUUUAUAUACUUUUGUUUUUAUAAAAGCUUUUUAUAAAAGGUGUUUUUGUAAAAGGUGAUUACAAAAGUCACAUUAAGUAUGCUGGAGUAUAUUCAUCUGCUGGAAUAUGUCUUCAGCCACACAUAUUUCCUUUGGAAAUAAUCCUGAGCUAGAGAAUCCUCCUCUGCAAACAUCUCUUUUGCAAACCCACUUAUUUUGGCCCUUCUUGAGAUAUCAGUCAUCGAGUUCAGUUUAAAAAAAAAAAUACGUGUUUGGGGCUCACAUUACAGUCCCAGCUCUAGUUUGUCUUGUACUCAUGACCCAAGACAGUGUAUGCCAGGGAUAACUGGUACCAGAUACAGCUUUGUUAGAAAUGCACACCUCUUCUGGUGUGUUUGAAGAGAGUGACAAUGUACAUAAAAUAAAUCUUUUUUAAAAAAACAAAGAAAUGUUGGUUUUAAGGCUUCUCUAUCGCCUAAUCCCACCACUUCCUCUGUGUCUGGAUGGUGUCAGAAGUGUGGUCUGGUCUGCGACAUCAACUUUCUUAUUUUCCAAGUUAAUUUGGGUCAUUUUUUCUUCCAUCCAUUAUCCAUCCACCCAUCAUCCAUCCAUCAACCAUCCAAUAACAAUUUUGACUGUUUACUAUGUAUCAAAGUUCAAGGAUAAUUAAAAAAAACUGCAUAAGAUCCUUGAAGAAACUUACAGAUAGCUAGGCAGAGUAUAAUGUGAUAACUCUUUGAGUCAGGAACAAGGGACAGCAAGAGAUAAGAGAAGGCCGAAGACUCUAUAUUACAGGCCUGUUUUUCCCUGAAGAACUCGUGGUUGAAGUUAGAUGCAGAGACUAGACGUGUGAGUUAGCACAGGACAGCCCCAUUGAUGGCUGGUGUGCACGAGCCCAUGCCAUUUAGAAUUUAUUCCAAACAGUCUAGACGUAUGCAACUUUAUUCUUUCAGCCUCUGGACAUGGACUAGCCUGGAAGCUGGUGAGAUGUAUGUGUGCAGUGAAUGAGGUGACUGCCUAAACUUGUGAUUAAUAAGCAGAGACCUUUAAGUCAAGAUACAAUGUAAGCCCUGCUGCCAUUUGCACCAGGGAGCCGGGAAACUGCACAGCCUUCUGUGCAUAGCCCACCAGAAGAAGAGAGACCUCCCAGCAGUGCCUUCACUUUUGAACUCAGAGGAGUAAGGACACAGGCUUAUAGGCCCACAGGAGCAACAAACUCCAGCCAGAGACAACAAUACCAACUAGCACCAGAGAUAAUCAGAUGGAGAAAGGCAAGCACAAGAACCCUACCAACAGAAACCAAGACCACACGGCAACAUCAGAACCCAGUUCUCCUACCACAGCAAGUCCCGGAUACCCCCAACACACCAGAAAAGCAAGAGUUGGAUUUAAAAUCGCAUCUCAUGAUGCUGAUAGAGGGCUUCAAGAAAGACUUAAAUAACUCCCUUAAAGAAAUACAGGAGAACAUCAGUCAACAGGUAAAAGUCCUUAAAGAGGAAACACAAAAAUCCCUUAAAGAAAUACAGGAGAUCAUGGGUCAACAGGUAGAAGCCCUUAAAGAAGAAACACAAAAAUCCCUUAAAGAAUUACAGGAAAACACAAACUCCACAGGAUCUAAAAGUUGAAGUAGACACAAUAAAGAAAUCACAAAGCCAGACAUCUCUGGAGAUAGAAAACCAUGGAAAGAAUUCAGGAGUCGUAGAUGCACAUAGAUCAACAACAGAAUAUAAGAGAUAGAAGAAAGAACCUCAGGUGCUGAAGAUAUCAUAGGAAACAUUGACUCAACUGUCAAAGAAAGUGCAAAAUGCAUAAAGCUGGUAACCCAAAACAUCCAGGAACUCCAGGACAAAAUGAGAAGACCAAACCUAAGCAUUAUAGGUAUAGAAGAGAGUGAGGAUUUAUACCUUAAAGGCCCAGUAAAUAUCUUCAACAAAACUGUAGAAAAAAACUUCCCUAACCUAGAGAAAUAGAUGCCUAUGAACAUGUAAGAAGCCUUCAGAACUCCAAACAGACCAGACCAGAACAGAAAAUCCACCCCACAAAUAAUAAUCAAAACACCAAAUUCACUAAACAAAGAAAGAAUAUUAAAAGCAGUAAGGGAAAAAGGGCAAAUAACUUAUAAAGGCAGACCUAUCAGAAUCGCACCAGACUUCUCACCAGAGACGAUGAAAGCUAGAAGAUCCUGGGCAGACCUCAUAUAGAUCCUAAGAGAACACAAAUGCCAGCCCAGGCUACUAUACCCAGCAAAACUCUCCAUCAUCUUAGAUGAAGAAACCAAGAUAUUCAAUGAUAAAACCAAAUUUACACAAUAUCUGUUCACAAAUCCAGCCCUACAAAGGAUAAUUGAUGGAAAAUGCCAAUACAAGGAGGGAAACUACACCCUAGAAAAAGCAAGAAAGUAAUCUUCUUCCAACAAACCCAAAAGAAGAUACCCACACAAACAUAAAAAUAACAUCAAAAAUAACAGGAAGCAACAAUCACUAUUCCAUAAUAUCUCUUAACAAUGGACUCAAGUCCCCAAUAAAAAGACAUAGACUAACAGAAAUAUUUUUCAUGUAAAUCUUCAAUUUUAUCAGAAAAUGUUUAUAAUUCCCCUUUUAAUUAAUUUAGUAAUUUUUUAUGCCUGCCAUUUUAUCUGCAUUAUUUUUCAUGAUAAUCUUCAAUUUUAAUAUGUCUUUCUAUAUACUUCCUCUAUUUUAUCAGAAAUGUUUUCAAUGUAAAUCUUUGAUUUUAUCACAAAUGUUUCUAAUUCCAUCUUCAAUUAAUAUAGAAACAGUUUUUAUAUCUACCAUUUUAUAUGUAAAAUUUUCCUUGAAAUAGUCAAUUUUAACAUGUUUGUCUAUUUAUUUCUUGAAUUUUACCAGAAGUAUUUUCCAUGUAAAUCUUCAUUGUUAUCUGAAAAUGUUUAUAAUUCCACCUUCAAUCAACUUAGAAUUAUCUUUAUGCCUAUCAUUUUAUCUAUAUAAUUUCCAUAAUGAUCUUUAAUUUUAACAUGUUUUUCUAUAUAUCUCUUCAAUUUUAUCAGAAAUAUUUUCCAUGUAAAUCUUCAAGUUUACCAGAAAAUGUUUAUAAUUCCACUUUCAAUCAACUUACGAAUAUUUUUAUACCUACCAUUAUUAUAUCUAUAUAAAAUUUUCCAUGAUAAUCUUCAAUUCAAUUCUCUCUCUCUCUCUCUCUCUCUCUCUCUCUCUCUCUUUUCCGAGAAAGGGUUUCUCUGUGUAGCCCUGGCUGUCCUGGAACUCACUCUGUAGACCAGGCUGGCCUCGAAUGAUAAUCUUUAAUUCUAACAUGUUUUUUCCACAUCUUUCCUACAAUUUUAUCAGAAAUAUUUUCCACGUAAAUCUUAAUUCUAUCAUAAAAUGUUUCUAUCCCAUAUUUCAAUUAAUUUAGCAAUAUUUUACAUGUCUACUACUUUACUCUUUAAUUUUCCAUGAAAAUUGUCAAUUUUAAUGUGUUUCUCUGAAGUAUUUUCCAUGUAAAUCUUUAAUUUUAUCGUAAAGUGUUUUUAUUUCCCUUUACUUCCCUUUUCAAUAAAUAAAAAAAAAUUUAAAAAAGGAAAAAAAAAGACACAAUAUAAGGUAUCCCUGUGACACUUGGUUGACGCCAUCCCACAAGGGAGCAACAGGGACGUUACCGACCGUGUGAACACUGGAGAUGUAAAGAAGCAGAACAUUUGAACUUAGGAGAAGUCUGUGAGUGAGCACUGUGUCCCGACUGUGGUUUUGGCUCCUACAGAAGGUCCCUUAUAUAUCCUCCUGGGAGUGUGCCUUCCUUGAGAUUAAGUGGAGCUGGGUUUGUGGUGGCACACACUGGAAGGCCUAGUACUCAUCAGUCAGGGGUAGGAGGAUCUCUGUGAGUCCAAGGCCAGCCAGAGUGAGAUUCUGAGAUUCUGUUCUCCAGAAAUUAGGAAAUAAAUGGAUUCACUUUUGUUUUUA
This is a long non-coding RNA of Apodemus sylvaticus (European woodmouse), 5194 nucleotides long. RefSeq lists it as uncharacterized. The transcript is spliced from 3 exons. NCBI's taxonomy places the organism in Eukaryota, Metazoa, Chordata, Mammalia, Rodentia, Muridae. The record is from RefSeq and is a predicted model, not a curated record.